CACAGAGAGACCAGUGGCAUUUACAUGAAACCAGCUGCCGUGGUUACCAUUGACGUUGUCUGGAGACUGAAGAUGAAGGCAUCACUGGCUAGGUAACAUUUACUGCACAUCCCGAAUUACCCAGAGGGAAAUUAACAGUCAACCACAUUGCUGUGGGUCUAGAAUCACAGACCAGGCCUGUACAUCGAUUUAAAUAUAAUUUAUAUUCCCUGCCUUCACUUCCUGCGCUUACAUCAGUGAGAAUUCUUCAAUCUGAUUGCUCAGGCAGCUUUUCUGCUGCCUGUCCUGUUCAUAGCCCCAUGCAUAGAACAAACAGGUGUUGAAGGAGUAGAGAUCAGGAACCUUCACUGAUAAGUCCAUGGAAAGUCUGGGUUUAACUAUGUGGCACAAGAAUUGUGAAACUUCAGGUCUUUCUAUUUUGUUUGGCUUUUGAUGGAUAUAUGUUGAUCAAUUAUCCUGUGUUUGUCUUCAAAUAGUGGAGUUGCAAAUUUUUGCAUUCUUCUAUUAGGACCGGUCUCAGAUGCCUGUUUUGUAGCUUACCCAAAAGGUAAAACCUCUGAAAAUUCAUGACAUUCUCAGUAUUGUACCCAUGUAUCAGCAUAGACUAUGUGCUCAUAGCUCAUUGUGAAUUCAGUUACACACAAUCUUCAGAUUAAAAUAUAUGAUACUACCACUGAGAAAAGGAUCAGGUUAAAACUCUUGCC
Stegostoma tigrinum is the source of this 704-nucleotide long non-coding RNA. RefSeq lists it as uncharacterized. The record is from RefSeq and is a predicted model, not a curated record. The transcript is spliced from 3 exons. NCBI's taxonomy places the organism in Eukaryota, Metazoa, Chordata, Chondrichthyes, Orectolobiformes, Stegostomatidae.